CCUCUGGAGCCACAGGAUCCCAGAUCCUUUUAACUAUGCAACUUGAUGUUUUUAAAUAAACAGAGAUGUGUCUUACUCAGCAAGAGAGAUUAAAUUUAGAGCCUAUGCCAAUAUGCAGAUUUGAUUUAACAGGUUCUGCUUACCUUUUGCCUUGUAGUCAGGGAUCCCUUAUUCUCUCUCUCACUGAGUCGUCCAGUCUCUGGCUCGCGUCACUCUUUCUGAAGAUCACGUCGGGGUCACCAAUUUGAAGGAAUUCCCCUCAGGGAGUCGUCACCUUCA
Sebastes umbrosus (honeycomb rockfish) is the source of this 279-nucleotide long non-coding RNA. RefSeq lists it as uncharacterized. The transcript is spliced from 3 exons. Lineage: Eukaryota; Metazoa; Chordata; Actinopteri; Perciformes; Sebastidae. The record is from RefSeq and is a predicted model, not a curated record.